RNAcentral lists this long non-coding RNA (229 nucleotides) under Phoenix dactylifera (date palm). Its description in RNAcentral is "long non-coding RNA (PDAC_LNC014079)". The record is from RNAcentral. Lineage: Eukaryota; Viridiplantae; Streptophyta; Magnoliopsida; Arecales; Arecaceae.
UUUUCCUCUUUUAUGCAUGUUUUAUUGUCUAUUGCUUUAAAAUUGACAUUAGCUUUUCAUGUUUAGGGUCCCCAUUAAAAUUGACAGUAGCUCCGGCACCGCUUCUCGCCGUUGAGCUCGGCACCGCUUGUCGGGACUUGAGUUCGUCGUCGAAUCCGGGCCGUCCAACACUGCUUCUGUUGACAUUUCGGGUUUUAUCAUUUCUAACUCUCUUAUAUUUUAAUUUGUU